This is a long non-coding RNA of Bubalus bubalis (water buffalo), 780 nucleotides long. RefSeq lists it as uncharacterized. The record is from RefSeq and is a predicted model, not a curated record. NCBI's taxonomy places the organism in Eukaryota, Metazoa, Chordata, Mammalia, Artiodactyla, Bovidae. The transcript has 3 exons.
CAUUUAUCUAUUGUCUAUCUACCUCUCAGUCACUUGCUUCUCAUUUAAUCAUGAAAUUGACAUUUUUCUGUCUUCAGGUGGGCCUGCCACCCCUUUGUACAGAAUUCAUCACUGCGGUUGUAUGAAAGAAGGGGCCUGGCCAUCAGGCUACCUCAGACUGGUAGCCAACAUGGGUUGGCUCAAUUCAUCCUGUGGGGUGUGAUAGUUGGCAGCUCCGGGCACCAUUCCCACAGCCAAGGUACCAGUGUAACCUUGCCUGGCUACCUGGCUUUUAGGUCAUAAGGCUGGAAACAAGGAUAUUCUCUCUGCACCUGUUGGGAACUUCUAAAUCCAUCUCGACAUAGUUUCAGCUCCACCUCAGUCGAUGCUCUGAGAGGUCCAGGAGUUUCUGCAAGCCCUGAAAUCGUUACGGAGUUAGAAGCUAUUUUUCUCCACGAAGCAAUGAAGAGAAUGCAGGGAGAUGUGACUCAAAGGAGAUGUUUUGUUUUUCAAAGUGGGAGAUAUCUGAGCGUGCGGUUUGCUGAUGGGAAUAAUCCAGCAGGGCGGGGCACAAUGCCGAAAACCACAGAAGAGAAAUCCACUGGAAAAGGGAAGGCAUAAACCCCGGAGCUCGGAUGGACGGUUGGACUUUGAACAGGGAGACAGACUGGCCGACCACGGAGCCAGGCAUCCUGUCUCUUUUUCUCAACGAAUACCCAGCCCCUAGAAUAGCACAUGGUGCUGGAAGGUGCUCAAUAAAAUUGGUGUUGGCUGAAUGAAUGAGGGUACCGGGGGCGGGGA